AUUUAUUAUUAUGUUUUUUCAGACACUUUGGCUUGUGCUUGUUGCAAUCUAAGAUCAAGGGUGCUUGGUAUUUUAGAAAUAUCGAUCUGUUCACAUGGGUAUCUGACAGAUGGUAUUUCAUUACUCCGAUCCUUUGAACCUGGAUCAGUUAUUGUGGUUGCCAUAAUAAUACAUCAAGUUAGCCUGCACGAAAAUCUCAUCAGUUGAGCUGCCUGGGGGUUCCUCUCAGUUAACUGGUAGCUUAUCCCUGCUACUGCAUCUUUAUGGCGUCUAAAGAGUAAAGACUGAAAAGCAACAACAAAUGAAGGGAUACAUAACACAAAACCAGUCCAAUACAGAGACACUGUUGCAUUCCAGUAAGUCUCUAAAUACCAAGUUCAUUCAAAUAAAUUUGCACUAGCGUAAAUUUAUUCUGGGUUUAAAGGGUAGAGAAUCAAGCAGUUACUUUCAAGUUUAAUGUGUUAGCACUUUGUUUAGAUUAAUAGGAGACACGUAUAUAACGAGAAUUGAGUGGUUGUUACUAGUUAAAUCUUAACGAAGGGAAUAGAGAGAGGGAAAAUGAGUUCAUAGCCCCACUUAUGGCUCAGGUUUCUUUUUGUUUAUUCAUGUUUCUUCCGUUCCAAAACCAGUAUGGUUGUGUGGAAAGACUUUCAGGUUACUUAUUACGAUCAGUCCAUUUUUCUCUGACUGCUACAAAUGUUUAUGAAGACCUGAAUUCAGGUUGAAGCUUGCUUCACCAGAGAGCAGUGAUCUGUUAAUUAACUCUCCCUCUUGUCUAACUCUAACCUUGUUCCUUUUCCAGCUACCAUAGAAUUUAUCACUCUAUAAUACAGUGGUCUGCAAAACCAGACAAUAGAUACUUAUGCAGGCAUAAAACACCAAUAGCUAGAGUACUAGAUUUAUCAAGAGAAAGGAAAACCAGCAGAUAGAUUAUAUUAACACAUGUUCUCCAAUUGGUGAAUCUUUAAGUU
This 971-nucleotide long non-coding RNA is filed under the name Rosa chinensis. RNAcentral describes it as "sRNA RchiOBHm_Chr5g0041031". Lineage: Eukaryota; Viridiplantae; Streptophyta; Magnoliopsida; Rosales; Rosaceae. The record is from RNAcentral.